Triticum aestivum (bread wheat) is the source of this 821-nucleotide long non-coding RNA. RefSeq lists it as uncharacterized. The record is from RefSeq and is a predicted model, not a curated record. The transcript is spliced from 2 exons. NCBI's taxonomy places the organism in Eukaryota, Viridiplantae, Streptophyta, Magnoliopsida, Poales, Poaceae.
AAGAAGGAAACAAAAAAAGAAACGAGGCCGCACGAGAACGAGAAAAACUUGCGGUGGGAAAAAAGGUAAUCCCAUCCCUUUCUCUCCCAACCACCCGACGACGGCCGACUCGCACAGAUCGGCUGGGCGAGCGGCGGCCUGACGCCCAGGCGACGGCCGACUCGCACAGAUCGGCUGGGCGAGCGGCGGCCUGACGCCUAGGCGACGACGGACUCGCACAGAUCGGCCCCCCUGCAGCAGCGGCCCGACGCAACGAGAUCCCCUGCGGCGGCCCGACGCGGCGAGAUCCCCUGCAGCGGCCUCCUCCUCGUUGGAUGCGCCAUUGCUGGCUCGUGCGAUGCGGGGAGGUGAUGUACUCAUCGUCAGCAGCGUCAACGCCGGCUCCUCCGAGGCAGCGAGGCGGCGCUGUGGUCGACCCUAGCGCGGCGUACUCUCUCUUGGUGUGGCGGCCUGGAUGAUCUCAUCCCCUCCCAGCUGAUCUCCUGAACGUGCAGUGGGGCGAGGUGGAUGUUCUCAGCCCCGCCCGGCUGGACCAGAUCGACGAGGGAGAGGACUAUAGACGGCUAGACACUCCAGCCUACUACUAUCUGCAAUUCGACAAGAAACAUGAAGUGCAGUUUAACCAAAUCAUAAGAGAGAAGGUUGCAGAUUAGGCUUGUGUCACUGGAAGAGACGAAACUGGAAUGUGCAAGUUCCAAAUAGAUAUUGCUUAUGUAGUUUUUGUUGAUUGUAGACUGUACUUCAAGUUAUUUGAAUUGGUGCUGUUGUAAGAUCUGACCUUGUGUCAAUGAAAUCAAUAUACAAGGUUUCAGUUGUGGAAA